GAUGAACGCUGGCGGCGUGCCUAAUACAUGCAAGUCGAGCGAACGGACGCGAAGCUUGCUUCUCUGAUGUUAGCGGCGGACGGGUGAGUAACACGUGGAUAACCUACCUAUAAGACUGGGAUAACUUCGGGAAACCGGAGAUAAUACCGGAUGAUAUUUUGAACCGCAUGGUUCAAAAGUAAAAGACGGUCUUGCUGUCACUUAUAGAUGGAUCCGCGCUGCAUUAGCUAGUUGGUAAGGUAACGGCUUACCAAGGCAACGAUGCAUAGCCGACCUGAGAGGGUGAUCGGCCACACUGGAACUGAGACACGGUCCAGACUCCUACGGGAGGCAGCAGUAGGGAAUCUUCCGCAAUGGGCGAAAGCCUGACGGAGCAACGCCGCGUGAGUGAUGAAGGUCUUCGGAUCGUAAAACUCUGUUAUUAGGGAAGAACAUAUGUGUAAGUAACUGUGCACAGCUUGACGGUACCUAAUCAGAAAGCCACGGCUAACUACGUG
This 497-nucleotide ribosomal RNA is filed under the name uncultured bacterium. RNAcentral's name for it is "partial 16S ribosomal RNA". It matches the Rfam family "Bacterial small subunit ribosomal RNA", at positions 28 to 507 of the family's 1533-position model. The record is from RNAcentral.